Molecule: non-coding RNA, 264 nt
Organism: Pelobates cultripes (western spadefoot toad)
Lineage: Eukaryota; Metazoa; Chordata; Amphibia; Anura; Pelobatidae
Source: the annotation of a GenBank genome assembly
UGUAAAUCAGGGAAGGUUUCAGACAUCGACCUUGAGCUAACCUCAUCCAACUUUUUUCAACUGACGUUAAAAUAAAAGCAGUCUUUGGCGGCGAGACCACCAUCCACUGCUGCGUCACCAGAUUGUAAAAAUGUUCUAGAACGGAAAUGGUAAUCUACUAGAGGCUGGAUACGUGUACUCUAUACAUGCCUCUGUGAAUUAAAAUAAAAUAUGUACCUGCUCGCAACAACUAAACAUUCUUCUUCAGAUCUGACUCCACCUGGG